Canis lupus familiaris (dog) is the source of this 1702-nucleotide RNA transcript. It is a transcript of the gene named ubiquitin conjugating enzyme E2 U, with no coding region annotated. Lineage: Eukaryota; Metazoa; Chordata; Mammalia; Carnivora; Canidae. The record is from RefSeq and is a predicted model, not a curated record. The transcript is spliced from 13 exons.
CGCUUAGCAACCAAUUUGCGACCUCCCGGGAAGCGGGCGCCCGGCGACACCUGUGAGGCGUAGCCUAACCGCGCUCCCUAACUUCAACCGUGCGGCCCUGCGCUCCGCCGGGCGUCCCCGCGUCACGCACGCACCUCACGGGUUGGCCCAGGUGCUCCCCCGCGUCUGCCUUGAGGCUGGGCUGUGGGCUGGCGCCGCGUGACACGCCGCCGUUGGGGAAGUUUGGUGGAGUCAGAGGAGAAAAGGAAAGUAAGUCACUGUUGUAAGUCCAGCUUAGAGCCGCUUCCCUCGGGAGGACAGAGCCUUCUGGGGCUCUAGGAAACAAGUCAUUGUGAGCUGGCCAGGUGUGCCGAGCGACCCAAAGUCUCAGGCAUCUGUCUCCGAGUGAAGCCUAGGAGUGUGGGGACGGGUGCCAGAGCCUUAUCAUGCACUGCAGAGCUUACUUCUUGCUGGAGAGAGACUUCCAAGAGUUGAAGGAGAACGAUUUUAAGGGUAUUACUGCCUUUCCUGUAAGUGAAGAUCUGAUGGAAUGGGGAGCCAAUAUUGAAGGUCUACAGAAUACAUUUUGGCAUGGAUUAUUCUUCCAACUGACAAUACAUUUUACAUCACAGUACAAUUUUGUCCCUCCAGUUGUGAAAUUCAUAACAAUUCCUUUUCAUCCAAAUGUAGAUCAAAAUUCUGGUCGAGUCUGUAUAGAUUUUUUGGAUGACCCUGAAAAGUGGAAUACAAACUAUACAUUGAGCAGCAUCUUACUUGCUCUCCAGUCUGUCCGGGAAGCAGCUGCCUACAUUGGAAGAGUCAGGGCCAAUGAGUCCUCCACUGGGAUGCCUUUCCGGACUUUCUUCAGAGAGGUCGAAUUGAUGGCUUUGGUUAUGCUUUCUAAUCCAGUUCUAGAAAAUCCAGUGAAUUUGGAAGCAGCCCGAAUGCUGAUUAAAGAUGAAUCUCUGUACAAACAAAUAGUUCUAAGACUUUUCAGCCAACCAAUACAAUUGAGAGAGAACAGCCUUGAGUUUCCUAAAGAUCCACAUAAACUUACCAGAUCAAUUAAAGCAGUCUCAUUUAAUGAUUACUACAAGACAUGGUCUGGAAUAGCCACAUCAAAAGCCACAGAAUAUUAUAGAAGUUCAUUGCUUGAAGACCCAAAUUUUAUUGGAGAGUAUUAUAAACAGAAGAAAGUUGAAUUAAAACAUACUAAAGAAUGGAAUUUAAAGUAUGCUGCUGCUGUGGCUGGGCUGGCUAGAGAAAGUAGAAGGCUUUCCAAAGCCAAUUAUCCAACUGAAAGAAAUCAGCUCUGCCCAACUCCAAUUUCUGUGUGCCCAGAGUCCAGGUAUGGUGUAGCUGGAUCCUCUGCUUGGCAUCCCAUAAGCUAUGAUCAAGGAAAUGACCUCCUGAGGAAAGAGGCCUACCUCUCAAUCUGCCACCGCACAGCACUUCAUCUAGUAGCCAUUCAGUGCUCAUGAAUGAGUGAAUGAAUACUAGAAUGAAGUAGAGUUGUUACGCUUUUAUCAUCUCUGAUCCUGGAAGAAGAUAAAUAAACCCUUGAUGAGUGAACAAAGUAUGAAAGUUGAAAUUUUUGCUGAUACACAAACUGAAAUGGAUAGUGUCAUGAAGACUGGUAGAACAAAGGAGAGGUGGAAGAGUGUAGCUUUACCAGAUGGUGGUAAUGAGAGUGAGUCAUGGGAAGAAGAAGUGGAAGACCUGG